CCUCUCUCUUUUUCCCUAGCCAGUUUCUCAAAAUGAGAGGUGGAACCACCUUUGGUACAACUUGGUACUUCCGAACUGGGCGAUUCAAGGUGGUACGGCCUUCCAUGAUCGGACUCUUAUCUUCCCUACAACUAAUAUUAGAGCCAAAUUUGUAAAGAUCCUUGGUGUUCCAAGCAAUAAAGGUAUACAAACAAAUAAGACACAAACUCAGGAUUUAUAAAAGAGUACACAAUUAUAGAAGUUUGAUAUAGUGGUUCUUUAAUAGUGGAUAGCUCUUGGACUAGAGCAAUAAAAAUGGACUCUUAGAGUGGAAAGAAGUUAUGAUGGAUGUGUAAACUCUUGAUGGAACAAGCUGCAAGAUUGGCACAAG
This 370-nucleotide long non-coding RNA is filed under the name Elaeis guineensis (African oil palm). Its description in RNAcentral is "long non-coding RNA (EGUI_LNC056232)". Lineage: Eukaryota; Viridiplantae; Streptophyta; Magnoliopsida; Arecales; Arecaceae. The record is from RNAcentral.